AAAUUGAAGAGUUUGAUCAUGGCUCAGAUUGAACGCUGGCGGCAGGCCUAACACAUGCAAGUCGAGCGGUAGCACAGAGAGCUUGCUCUCGGGUGACGAGCGGCGGACGGGUGAGUAAUGUCUGGGAAACUGCCUGAUGGAGGGGGAUAACUACUGGAAACGGUAGCUAAUACCGCAUAACGUCGCAAGACCAAAGUGGGGGACCUUCGGGCCUCAUGCCAUCAGAUGUGCCCAGAUGGGAUUAGCUAGUAGGUGGGGUAACGGCUCACCUAGGCGACGAUCCCUAGCUGGUCUGAGAGGAUGACCAGCCACACUGGAACUGAGACACGGUCCAGACUCCUACGGGAGGCAGCAGUGGGGAAUAUUGCACAAUGGGCGCAAGCCUGAUGCAGCCAUGCCGCGUGUGUGAAGAAGGCCUUCGGGUUGUAAAGCACUUUCAGCGGGGAGGAAGGCGGUGAGGUUAAUAACCUCAUCGAUUGACGUUACCCGCAGAAGAAGCACCGGCUAACUCCGUGCCAGCAGCCGCGGUAAUACGGAGGGUGCAAGCGUUAAUCGGAAUUACUGGGCGUAAAGCGCACGCAGGCGGUCUGUCAAGUCGGAUGUGAAAUCCCCGGGCUCAACCUGGGAACUGCAUUCGAAACUGGCAGGCUAGAGUCUUGUAGAGGGGGUAGAAUUCCAGGUGUAGCGGUGAAAUGCGUAGAGAUCUGGAGGAAUACCGGUGGCGAAGGCGGCCCCCUGGACAAAGACUGACGCUCAGGUGCGAAAGCGUGGGGAGCAAACAGGAUUAGAUACCCUGGUAGUCCACGCCGUAAACGAUGUCGAUUUGGAGGUUGUGCCCUUGAGGCGUGGCUUCCGGAGCUAACGCGUUAAAUCGACCGCCUGGGGAGUACGGCCGCAAGGUUAAAACUCAAAUGAAUUGACGGGGGCCCGCACAAGCGGUGGAGCAUGUGGUUUAAUUCGAUGCAACGCGAAGAACCUUACCUGGUCUUGACAUCCACAGAACUUUCCAGAGAUGGAUUGGUGCCUUCGGGAACUGUGAGACAGGUGCUGCAUGGCUGUCGUCAGCUCGUGUUGUGAAAUGUUGGGUUAAGUCCCGCAACGAGCGCAACCCUUAUCCUUUGUUGCCAGCGGUUAGGCCGGGAACUCAAAGGAGACUGCCAGUGAUAAACUGGAGGAAGGUGGGGAUGACGUCAAGUCAUCAUGGCCCUUACGACCAGGGCUACACACGUGCUACAAUGGCAUAUACAAAGAGAAGCGACCUCGCGAGAGCAAGCGGACCUCAUAAAGUAUGUCGUAGUCCGGAUUGGAGUCUGCAACUCGACUCCAUGAAGUCGGAAUCGCUAGUAAUCGUAGAUCAGAAUGCUACGGUGAAUACGUUCCCGGGCCUUGUACACACCGCCCGUCACACCAUGGGAGUGGGUUGCAAAAGAAGUAGGUAGCUUAACCUUCGGGAGGGCGCUUACCACUUUGUGAUUCAUGACUGGGGUGAAGUCGUAACAAGGUAACCGUAGGGGAACCUGCGGUUGGAUCACCUCCUUA
RNAcentral lists this ribosomal RNA (1539 nucleotides) under Klebsiella pneumoniae. RNAcentral describes it as "bacterial SSU rRNA". It matches the Rfam family "Bacterial small subunit ribosomal RNA". The record is from RNAcentral. Lineage: Bacteria; Pseudomonadati; Pseudomonadota; Gammaproteobacteria; Enterobacterales; Enterobacteriaceae.